GCAUCCUUAGCUUAAAUGGACAAAGCCUCGGUCUUCUAAACCGUAUGAUACGGGUUCAAGUCCUGUAGGAUGUA
This 74-nucleotide transfer RNA is filed under the name Schizocladia ischiensis. RNAcentral describes it as "tRNA-Arg". It matches the Rfam family "tRNA". From Rfam's summary of the family: Transfer RNA (tRNA) molecules are approximately 80 nucleotides in length. Their secondary structure includes four short double-helical elements and three loops (D, anti-codon, and T loops). Further hydrogen bonds mediate the characteristic L-shaped molecular structure. tRNAs have two regions of fundamental functional importance: the anti-codon, which is responsible for specific mRNA codon recognition, and the 3' end, to which the tRNAs corresponding amino acid is attached (by aminoacyl-tRNA synthetases). tRNAs cope with the degeneracy of the genetic code in two manners: having more than one tRNA (with a specific anti-codon) for a particular amino acid; and 'wobble' base-pairing, i.e. permitting non-standard base-pairing at the 3rd anti-codon position. Lineage: Eukaryota; Schizocladiophyceae; Schizocladiales; Schizocladiaceae. The record is from RNAcentral.